AGUCGCGCGGGAAUACGUAGGUGGCAAGCGUUAUCCGGAAUUAUUGGGCGUAAAGCGCGCGUAGGCGGUUUUUUAAGUCUGAUGUGAAAGCCCACGGCUCAACCGUGGAGGGUCAUUGGAAACUGGAAAACUUGAGUGCAGAAGAGGAAAGUGGAAUUCCAUGUGUAGCGGUGAAAUGCGCAGAGAUAUGGAGGAACACCAGUGGCGAAGGCGACUUUCUGGUCUGUAACUGACGCUGAUGUGCAAAAGCGUGGGGAUCAAACAGGAUUAGAUACCCCCGUAGUCCCUGUCUCUUAUACAC
This 301-nucleotide ribosomal RNA is filed under the name uncultured bacterium. Its description in RNAcentral is "partial 16S ribosomal RNA". It matches the Rfam family "Bacterial small subunit ribosomal RNA", at positions 510 to 809 of the family's 1533-position model. The record is from RNAcentral.